This 775-nucleotide ribosomal RNA is filed under the name uncultured Neocallimastigales. Its description in RNAcentral is "partial large subunit ribosomal RNA". It matches the Rfam family "Eukaryotic large subunit ribosomal RNA", at positions 23 to 647 of the family's 3401-position model. The record is from RNAcentral. Lineage: Eukaryota; Fungi; Neocallimastigomycota; Neocallimastigomycetes; Neocallimastigales.
AGAGAGAGACAUGCGCGCAUAUCAAUAAGCGGAGGAAAAGAAACUAACAAGGAUUCCCCUAGUAACGGCGAGUGAAGCGGGAAGAGCUCGAAUUUGAAAUCUUAAAGGGUUUCCCUUUACGAAUUGUAGUUUAAAGAAGUGUUUUCUGUUGAGGUUUUGGUAAAAGUUCUUUGGAAUAGGACAUCAUAGAGGGUGAGAAUCCCGUAUUUGACCUUUACUUUCAACUUUGUGAUACACUUUCAAAGAGUCGGAUUGUUUGGGAAUGCAGUCCAAAAUGGGUGGUAAAUUUCAUCUAAAGCUAAAUAUUGGCGAGAGACCGAUAGCGAACAAGUACCGUGAGGGAAAGAUGAAAAGAACUUUGAAAAGAGAGUUAAACAGUACGUGAAAUUGUCAAAAGGGAAGCGUUUGACACCAGUGUUGUUUUUCUGAAAAUCAAUUAAAGAACUGUUUAUGCUAAGCUGUUUAGACUUUAUCAGCUAAUCUGUUUAGUUUUGAGCUUUUCUUUAAUGCACUUUUCAGUUAACAAGUCAACAUCAAUUUCUUUUGCUGUAAAAAAGCUUGAGGAAGGUGGCUUGAGAUUCGUCUUAAGUGUUUAUAGCCUCUUGCCUAUGCAGUCGGAGAGAUUGAGGUCUGCAGCGUAGAUCCUUCGGGGCUAAAUGCAUUUGUGCUAAGUUAUAGCAUUUUAUAGACAACUUGUUGACUAUGAUUUGUCUUGUAGCUUACUCGCUUAUGUUAUUUUACCUACGCUUAGGAUGUUGACGCAUGAGAUAUACGC